This 1623-nucleotide unclassified non-coding RNA is filed under the name Apis dorsata (giant honeybee). Its description in RNAcentral is "peptidyl-prolyl cis-trans isomerase A2-like, transcript variant X1". The record is from RNAcentral. Lineage: Eukaryota; Metazoa; Arthropoda; Insecta; Hymenoptera; Apidae.
GUUCGGUCAUCGCGUGGUGCUUCUGAUCGCAUUUAAGUGCGGGUUGAAUUAUGAAGCUGCAACUAUCAGGGGACACGACUCAUUCUAAACGCAAUCGUAAAAUCAUGAAGAUUCUGUUGACGAUAGCCUGCCUGGUCGGAUUGGUCGCAACUUUCGAGAAAAACAAUCUCACUGUAGUCGACCAGGUGUAUCUGGACAUUAUGAUAGACGAUCAUCCAGUGGGAAGAAUCGUCAUAGGGUUAUUCAGUGAUAUCGUGCCUAAAACUACGAAGAACUUUCUCACUUUAGCCACUACAGGGAUUGGAGGAAAAACUUAUAAGCAUAGCACGUUUCAUCGAGUGAUUAAAAAAUUUAUGAUACAGGGUGGAGAUAUAGAGAAUGGAGACGGUACCGGAUCGAUUAGUAUCUAUGGAAAAACGUUUGACGACGAGAAUUUUGAGAUUGGUCACAAUGCACCCAUGUACGUGAGCAUGGCGAAUGCCGGAAAGAAUACGAAUGGAUGUCAAUUCUUUAUUACGACUAUUCCUACACCCUGGUUAGAUGGGAAGCAUACUGUGUUUGGAAAGGUGAUCGAAGGCGAAGAUGUAGUUUUUAAGAUCGAGCAGACGAAAACGGAUGCUGAUGACGUGCCGAUUAAACCCGUGGUUAUCUUCGAAUGUGGUUCCAUACCUACCCCAUCUCCGUUUAAAGUGGAUGACAAUAUUUACAAAAAUGUAUAAAUUUAAAGUAUAUAUAUAUAUGAGCUUCACUGUAAAUCCUAGUGUUGAAUUAUAUCUUGUAGAGAAAAAAUGCAGUAGAAAAGGAUAUAGUAUAAGAAGUAGAAGUAUCUGGGCAUGGAUAAAAGCAACAUCUAUACCAUUAGGUUUCAGUUUCUCGGUCCUGGCUGUGUUCCAUUAUAUGAUGAAGAAACUAGACGUGUAAUUAUAAUAUAUAUAAAUUUAUUUCAAAAACAGAAGGUUCAGAAGGAUUCAAAAAAUUAUGCUUAUAAUGGAGGUACGAGAAGUAAUGAGAAAAACUAUAUUUCGUAAUUUUAUAGUUACUGAAAGGGAAAGAAAAAAAAAUCACAAGAACGAAUUAUUAUCUCGAAAUAAAACUUUCUAAAACUAAAUCAUAAUUUAAGACACGAGCAACGAGAAUCGUAAAUUAAUUCUAGGAAAAUGCAUUUCUCUUCUUUUUAUAAUGUUUCGUCCAUUCAUAUGUAUCAAGACGCAGUCGCCAUCUGGUAAGGAAUCGAUUGUACUAAUCCAUUGAAUUUGCAAGGAACUUUCAAAUACUUACUCCCGUGAUUUAACACUCGUUAUUUAACAUCUCCACCAUCAUUAUUGAAUCCUGUUAAUGUAGAAGUUCAAAAAAUAACAGGAGCAGAACUAUGCUACGAUCUAAACUCACCUCCAUUCUUUUUUUCAUAAUUUUCCAUCCUUAUUUGAAACCUCCUCCACAGUUCUAACAUCCUGUUAACUUGCGAGCAAAUAACAGGAGCAAAGGUAAGUUAUAAAUUAAAAUUGGUAUUCUGACUAGAGUAUCUUUCUUGUCGUAUAUGAUACCUCUACCAUCGUUCUGCAUUUCUGUUAAUAUCAGAUGAAAAUGACAGUAACUGGAUAAAUCGAAUUGGUGUUCAGAACA